Non-coding RNA from Phascolarctos cinereus (koala), 565 nucleotides. The record is from RefSeq and is a predicted model, not a curated record. NCBI's taxonomy places the organism in Eukaryota, Metazoa, Chordata, Mammalia, Diprotodontia, Phascolarctidae.
CAAGGAAACUCCCUCUACCAGUUCAGGUUUCCACCUCCUCUGCAACUUACAUUAGAGACUUACCAUGAUGAUUUUGGUAAAAGGUUAUCUAGAGGAAAGGACUAGACAAGAUACCUAAGUUCCCAUCUGCCUCUAAAUCCCUUGAUCUUGUGACCCGAGCUUAAUGUUGGAGCAAGGAACUGCACAUAAAAGGGUCAUUUUAUGGAAAAUGUACAGUUUGCAGCUGGCUCCCCAGUAAGAACAUCAAUACUACAUUCUUGAAAAAAGAAAGGAAAAAUCCUCUCUAAAGCAUCCUUGAUGAAUAAUCAUGCAGCUUCUACUUGGACACUUACAAUAAUGGAGACCUCACUCUCUGAAGACACAGCCAGUUCCAUGACUAGAUAGCUCUAAAUGUUGGAAAGAUUUUCCUUCUGUUGAGCCAUACUGUUAGUCUCUCAACUUUGACUCACUGGUGCUGCCCUUUGGAACAAUGCAAGGGCCUGCCCAGUACUGAGUGUCCCUCAAGAGGAGGGGUCAUUGGAGGACCACAAGGCGUGCAGAUGACAGUCUUUGUCACCUCAUCCUG